This 253-nucleotide ribosomal RNA is filed under the name uncultured bacterium. RNAcentral describes it as "partial 16S ribosomal RNA". It matches the Rfam family "Bacterial small subunit ribosomal RNA", at positions 524 to 776 of the family's 1533-position model. The record is from RNAcentral.
GACGUAGGGCGCGAGCGUUGUCCGGAUUUAUUGGGCGUAAAGAGCUCGUAGGCGGCUCGUUGCGUCGGCUGUGAAAACCCGCAGCUCAACUGUGGGCUUGCAGCUGAUACGGGCGGGCUGGGAUUCGGUAGGGGAGACUGGAAUUCCUGGUGUAGCGGUGAAAUGCGCAGAUAUCAGGAGGAACACCAGUGGCGAAGGCGGCUACCUGGACCGGAACUGACGCUGAUGCGCGAAAGCGUGGGUAGCAAACAGG